RNAcentral lists this ribosomal RNA (898 nucleotides) under uncultured bacterium. Its description in RNAcentral is "bacterial SSU rRNA". It matches the Rfam family "Bacterial small subunit ribosomal RNA", at positions 33 to 914 of the family's 1533-position model. The record is from RNAcentral.
ACGCUGGCGGCGUGCCUAAUACAUGCAAGUAGAACGCUGAAGGAGGAGCUUGCUUCUCUGGAUGAGUUGCGAACGGGUGAGUAACGCGUAGGUAACCUGCCUGGUAGCGGGGGAUAACUAUUGGAAACGAUAGCUAAUACCGCAUAACAGUAGAUGUUGCAUGACAUUUGCUUAAAAGGUGCAAUAGCAUCACUACCAGAUGGACCUGCGUUGUAUUAGCUAGUUGGUGGGGUAACGGCUCACCAAGGCGACGAUACAUAGCCGACCUGAGAGGGUGAUCGGCCACACUGGGACUGAGACGCGGCCCAGACUCCUACGGGAGGCAGCAGUAGGGAAUCUUCGGCAAUGGACGGAAGUCUGACCGAGCAACGCCGCGUGAGUGAAGAAGGUUUUCGGAUCGUAAAGCUCUGUUGUAAGAGAAGAACAGGUGUGAGAGUGGAAAGUUCACACUGUGACGGUAUCUUACCAGAAAGGGACGGCUAACUACGUGCCAGCAGCCGCGGUAAUACGUAGGUCCCGAGCGUUGUCCGGAUUUAUUGGGCGUAAAGCGAGCGCAGGCGGUUAGAUAAGUCUGAAGUUAAAGGCUGUGGCUUAACCAUAGUACGCUUUGGAAACUGUUUAACUUGAGUGCAAGAGGGGAGAGUGGAAUUCCAUGUGUAGCGGUGAAAUGCGUAGAUAUAUGGAGGAACACCGGUGGCGAAAGCGGCUCUCUGGCUUGUAACUGACGCUGAGGCUCGAAAGCGUGGGGAGCAAACAGGAUUAGAUACCCCUGGUAGUCCACGCCGUAAACGAUGAGUGCUAGGUGUUAGACCCUUUCCGGGGUUUAGUGCCGCAGCUAACGCAUUAAGCACUCCGCCUGGGGAGUACGACCGCAAGGUUGAAACUCAAAGGAAUUGAC